GAUUGAUAUCUUUAUUUUGCAUUAUUUGAUUUUCACAAUUCGCUUGAACGACUCUUGGGGAUGAUAAAAAGGCGGGCUGCCAUGCACUUUAUUUAGCCUUGAAGCCAUUCUAGGGAAGGGAUGGCCGAAGAAAGGUGGAUAGAUUUUGUAAAAUGCCAUAUAAUUUGAUGAAUUAGGAUUGUGAUGAAUGAGAAACGCCAUGUAAAAUUUCGUCGACUUUUUUUCUGUUUAAUAGUAGUAUGACUAAGUUUUUGGGGGAGGAAGGUUAGUGGAUGAACUGAUAUGUAAAUAAGUGGACCAGUUAAUAACUUGGCUUUGUUAGAUAGAAUUUUCUUUUUUAUAAAAUAAUUUGCAAGUAUUGAUAACUCUAAAUAAUGAACUGGUUGGAUUAAACCCAUAAGUUAAUUAUUGACUUUCAAUAUUAAAAUAGGCGAAUAAAUGCAUUCAGAGUAAUUUCAAUAAUGAUUUCUUCAUUAUAUUAUUUGCAUUCAUAAAGUCGAAUUUGUAG
Molecule: non-coding RNA, 508 nt
Filed under: Cryptosporidium parvum
Lineage: Eukaryota; Apicomplexa; Conoidasida; Eucoccidiorida; Cryptosporidiidae
Source: RNAcentral